UACAGAGGCCACAAGCGUUAAUCGGAAUCACUGGGCUUAAAGGGUGCGUAGGCGGGUUCGUAAGUGCUUUGUGAAAGCCCUCGGCUCAACCGAGGAACUGCAGGGCAUACUGCGAAUCUUGAGGAAUCUAGAGGCCGGCAGAACGAUAGGUGGAGCGGUGGAAUGCGUAGAGAUCUAUCGGAAUGCCAAAGGUGAAGACAGCCGGCUGGGGAUUUCCUGACGCUGAGGCACGAAAGCGUGGGGAGCAAACAGG
RNAcentral lists this ribosomal RNA (253 nucleotides) under uncultured bacterium. RNAcentral describes it as "partial 16S ribosomal RNA". It matches the Rfam family "Bacterial small subunit ribosomal RNA", at positions 524 to 776 of the family's 1533-position model. The record is from RNAcentral.